AUUAGCAUUACCUGGAGAUCUUGUUAAAAUGCAGCUCUUGAUGCAAUGGGUCUGGGUUUCAACCUGAGGUUCUGUAUUUCCAACAAGCUGCUGGAUGAUACUGAU
RNAcentral lists this microRNA precursor (105 nucleotides) under Marmota monax (woodchuck). Lineage: Eukaryota; Metazoa; Chordata; Mammalia; Rodentia; Sciuridae. The record is from RNAcentral.